RNAcentral lists this ribosomal RNA (253 nucleotides) under uncultured bacterium. RNAcentral's name for it is "partial 16S ribosomal RNA". It matches the Rfam family "Bacterial small subunit ribosomal RNA", at positions 524 to 776 of the family's 1533-position model. The record is from RNAcentral.
UACGGGGGGGGCAAGCGUUGUUCGGAAUUACUGGGCGUAAAGGGCUCGUAGGCGGCCAACUAAGUCAGACGUGAAAUCCCUCGGCUUAACCGGGGAACUGCAUCUGAUACUGGAUGGCUUGAGUUCGGGAGAGGGAUGCGGAAUUCCAGGUGUAGCGGUGAAAUGCGCAGAGAUCGGGAGGAACACCAGUGGCGAAGGCGGCUUACUGGUCCGGUUCUGACGCUGAGGCGCGAAAGCGUGGGGAGCAAACAGG